Molecule: ribosomal RNA, 468 nt
Filed under: uncultured bacterium
Lineage: Bacteria
Description: partial 16S ribosomal RNA
Rfam family: Bacterial small subunit ribosomal RNA
Source: RNAcentral
GACGAACGCUGGCGGCGUGCUUAACACAUGCAAGUCGAACGGAAAGGCCCUGCUUUUGUGGUCUGCUCGAUUGGCGAACGGGGGAGUAACACGUGAGUAACCUGCCCUUGUCUUUGGGAUAACUUCAGGAAACUGGGCCUAAUACCGUAUCGGAUCUCCUGCUCCAUUGUGAGCGUUGGAAAUUUUCGGCGGGUGGGGAUGGAGUCGCGGCUUACCAGCUUGCUGGUGGGGUGGGGGCUUACCAAGGCUUUGACGGGUAGCCGACCUGAGAGGGUGAACGGCCACAAGGGGACUGAGAGACGGACCAGACUGGUACGGGAGGCAGCGGUGGGGAAUAUUGUACAAUGAGAGGAAGUCUGAUGCAGCGGCGCCGCGUGCGGGAUGACGGUCUGUGGGUUGUAAACAGCAGUAGCCUGUGACGACGCGUGAGUGACGGUAAUGAGUAAAGAAGCACCGGCUAACUACGUG